Molecule: ribosomal RNA, 253 nt
Filed under: uncultured bacterium
Lineage: Bacteria
Description: partial 16S ribosomal RNA
Rfam family: Bacterial small subunit ribosomal RNA
Source: RNAcentral
UACGUAGGGGGCAAGCGUUGUCCGGAAUCAUUGGGCGUAAAGAGCGUGUAGGCGGCCCGAUAAGUCCGUCGUGAAAGUCCAGGGCUCAACCCUGGGAUGCCGGUGGAAACUGUCGGGCUAGAGUCCGGAAGAGGCGAGUGGAAUUCCUGGUGUAGCGGUGAAAUGCGCAGAUAUCAGGAGGAACACCAAUUGCGAAGGCAGCUCGCUGGGACGUUACUGACGCUGAGACGCGAAAGCGUGGGGAGCAAACAGG